GAUGAACGAGGGAGGCGUGCCUAAUACAUGCAAGUCGAGCGAACGGACGAGAAGCUUGCUUCUCUGAUGUUAGCGGCGGACGGGUGUGUAACACGUGGAUAACCUACCUAUAAGACUGGGAUAACUUCGGGAAACCGGAGCUAAUACCGGAUGAUAUUUUGAACCGCAUGGUUCAAAAGUGAAAGACGGUCUUGCUGUCACUUAUAGAUGGAUCCGCGCUGCAUUAGCUAGUUGGUAAGGUAACGGCUUACCAAGGCAACGAUGCAUAGCCGACCUGAGAGGGUGAUCGGCCACACUGGAACUGAGACACGGUCCAGACUCCUACGGGAGGCAGCAGUAGGGAAUCUUCCGCAAUGGGCGAAAGCCUGACGGAGCAACGCCGCGUGAGUGAUGAAGGUCUUCGGAUCGUAAAACUCUGUUAUUAGGGAAGAACAUAUGUGUAAGUAACUGUGCACAUCUUGACGGUACCUAAUCAGAAAGCCACGGCUAACUACGUG
RNAcentral lists this ribosomal RNA (497 nucleotides) under uncultured bacterium. Its description in RNAcentral is "partial 16S ribosomal RNA". It matches the Rfam family "Bacterial small subunit ribosomal RNA", at positions 28 to 507 of the family's 1533-position model. The record is from RNAcentral.